GGGUCAGUAGGCUGGUCGUGCCACCGGUACGUACUGGUCUCACUGAUUCCUCCUUCCUGAAGAACCGUAAUGCCAUUAAUUUGGUGUUGCGGGGAAACAGGACUGUUACUUUGAAAAAAUUAGAGUGUUUAAAGCAAGCUAACGCUUGAAUACAUUAGCAUGGAAUAAUGAAAUAGGACGAUCGAUCCUAUUUUGUUUGUUUCUAGGAUUGACGUA
This 216-nucleotide ribosomal RNA is filed under the name Glomeromycotina sp. RNAcentral describes it as "partial small subunit ribosomal RNA". The stretch from base 40 to 216 matches the Rfam family "Eukaryotic small subunit ribosomal RNA", at positions 686 to 864 of the family's 1831-position model. The record is from RNAcentral. Lineage: Eukaryota; Fungi; Glomeromycota.